GUCGAGGUGGCGGAAUUGGCAGACGCGCACGUUUGAGGGGCGUGUGGGUUAACCGUACGGGUUCAAGUCCCGUCCUCGACACCA
This 84-nucleotide transfer RNA is filed under the name Paenalicyclobacillus cellulosilyticus. RNAcentral describes it as "Alicyclobacillus cellulosilyticus tRNA-Leu". It matches the Rfam family "tRNA". Rfam says of the family: Transfer RNA (tRNA) molecules are approximately 80 nucleotides in length. The record is from RNAcentral. Lineage: Bacteria; Bacillati; Bacillota; Bacilli; Caryophanales; Alicyclobacillaceae.